UGGGGAAUAUUGGACAAUGGGCGCAAGCCUGAUCCAGCCAUGCCGCGUGUGUGAAGAAGGCCUUUUGGUUGUAAAGCACUUUAAGCGAGGAGGAGGCUACUUGGAUUAAUACUCUAGGAUAGUGGACGCUACUCGCAGAAUAAGCACCGGCUAACUCUGUGCCAGCAGCCUCGGUAAUACAGAGGGUGCGAGCGUUAAUCGGAUUUACUGGGCGUAAAGCGUGCGUAGGCGGCUUCUUAAGUCGGAUGUGAAAUCCCUGAGCUUAACUUAGGAAAUGCAUUCGAUACUGGGAAGCUAGAGUAUGGGAGAGGAUGGUAGAAUUCCAGGUGUAGCGGUGAAAUGCGUAGAGAUCUGGAGGAAUACCGAUGGCGAAGGCAGCCAUCUGGCCUAAUACUGACGCUGAGGUACGAAAGCAUGGGGAGCAAACAGG
RNAcentral lists this ribosomal RNA (430 nucleotides) under Bacillota bacterium. Its description in RNAcentral is "Firmicutes bacterium partial 16S ribosomal RNA". It matches the Rfam family "Bacterial small subunit ribosomal RNA", at positions 355 to 776 of the family's 1533-position model. The record is from RNAcentral. Lineage: Bacteria; Bacillati; Bacillota.